CGCACUGAUCCAGGGCCAUAAGGCAAUUGGGCCACCGUUAAUGUCGGAUCCUGUAUCAUUUUCCAUUAGUUUGUCCCAUUACUUCGGACCACCUGGUAACAUUAAAAUAGAUGUGAAUGACUUUUGAGCGGGACUUUGAAGAGACGCAACAUAAUGCCAGCAUGGUGAAGCCAGAGGUGGUGGGCGUGGCCAAUGUGGUUGCAGAUUUGUGUCACAGUGGAUGUUGUUCCAAGAAGGCUGCUGCAGGCUUCAAGAUUGUCUUCGGGGGCGGGACAAGCAUGACAGUGGAAAUCAGGAUGAUCUUAAUAUAUACGGUAGCUUGUAUUUUCCACCUCUUGUGUUGACAUCAUUGUCCGUGAAUACUUGUUUUUCUUUCUCCACUCUGUUUUUCAGGGAAAGGUUCACCUUGCUUCUGCCGCGAAUCUUCCUUUUUAUUGCCUCAAGUGCUAUGUGCUUUUUUGAUGCAAAUAACAUGAUUUAAGACAUCACAGACACUUGGAGAAGGAUGUCCAGUCAACAUGGAUGACAUGAAAGUCUUGCGGAAGAAGAACCUCGCCCUGAGGAAUAACGCUGUGAAGAGGCAGACCACUGUUGUGAAACUAGUUUGAGUGUCGCAACUGGUAAAUUUUCCCAUACAUGCAGCUGGAACGAGCAGAUAAUUGGCACUCAAAGCACUUGAACAAUCCUCACAAGCAUCAGGACCAAGUUGAGGCUUUAGUAUUUUGGUCAAGGACCCCCAGGUAUGGUCACUCGGGCUCAGAAUUGGAACCAAGACCUUCAGGCUGGAAAACGACCAUAAUACCACCUGAGCUGUGCCUCCCCAUUAGGAUUUCGAUUGUGUUCUUGGAAAAGUUUCUCUUCAGGUUUUUGUUGAAGGACCAACUGAUGUGUGUCAGGAUUUCGGAGAUUUCUUUUCGGAAGCGGUACCAGAGUGACUGUGGAGACUUGUAAGUUUGGCUUUUAUGUAUCACGACCCAAAUUGUGUCACUACCUCAAUCAGCUGAGAUAAAACAAGAU
Molecule: long non-coding RNA, 1017 nt
Organism: Hippocampus comes (tiger tail seahorse)
Lineage: Eukaryota; Metazoa; Chordata; Actinopteri; Syngnathiformes; Syngnathidae
Exons: 2
Source: RefSeq, a predicted model, not a curated record